Molecule: ribosomal RNA, 429 nt
Filed under: Bacteroidota bacterium
Lineage: Bacteria; Pseudomonadati; Bacteroidota
Description: Bacteroidetes bacterium partial 16S ribosomal RNA
Rfam family: Bacterial small subunit ribosomal RNA
Source: RNAcentral
UAGGGAAUCUUCCGCAAUGGACGCAAGUCUGACGGAGCAACGCCGCGUGAGUGAAGAAGGAUUUCGGUUCGUAAAACUCUGUUGUUAGAGAAGAACAGCGCAUAGAGUAACUGUUAUGCGUGUGACGGUAUCUAACCAGAAAGCCACGGCUAACUACGUGCCAGCAGCCGCGGUAAUACGUAGGUCCCGAGCGUUGUCCGGAUUUAUUGGGCGUAAAGCGAGCGCAGGCGGUCAAUUAAGUCUGAUGUGAAAGCCCCCGGCUCAACCGGGGAGGGUCAUUGGAAACUGGUUGACUUGAGUGCAGAAGAGGAGAGUGGAAUUCCAUGUGUAGCGGUGAAAUGCGUAGAUAUAUGGAGGAACACCAGUGGCGAAGGCGACUCUCUGGUCUGUAACUGACGCUGAGGCUCGAAAGCGUGGGUAGCAAACAGG